AAUAAGACACCCCCCCUUUUCCCCCCCAAAAGCCUGGCAGGGGUGUCGGGCUGAUAGGCUCGCCCGGAGGAAAGCGCAUUACGUAGGCAAGCGGCUCCGCUCAACUUGCCACCUGCGCCGGGAGAGCUGCCGGGGAAGCGAGAUCCUGCCGGAGCCCCUCGCCCGCCGCUGGCCGCCCACCCGCCCUCCGCCAUGGACUGCUGCAAUGAGGGAGCCUGCACAAAGCUGGACGAGGACAUCCUGGACAUCCCUUUGGACGAUCCCGAUGCCAACGCGGCGGCCGCCAAGAUCCAGGCUAGUUUCCGUGGCCAUAUGACCCGCAAGAAGAUCAAAGGGGGAGAAAUCGAUCGGAAAACCAAGGACGCCGAGUGCGCCAACAGCACCCGCGGCGGCGACCUCCGCAACGGAGACUAGGGGCCGCCAGCCGCUCCCCGGACCCCCCUCGCCACCGGCCCCCCCCGCCGCCGCCCGCCGAGGCCCAGGAGCCCCCGCUUUGCCCCAUCGCCCCCCGCAUGCGACCCCCGGAGCCCCGCAGCAGCCAGGCCCUGCCCCCACCCCCGGCUGCCCCGCCCCGCCCCGGAGACCCCCCACCCCAAUAAACGCCCCUGCCAGAGCCCCGGGCUGUCCUUGGUGCCGUUCCAUGUCCCCGGCGGAGGGUGAGGGCACCGCGGGGCACAGCGGGGAGGGGCAGGGGCUGGUGGUGCCCAGCAGUGAUGUCACACGUGCGUGUGGGACAUCGUGCGGGCACAUGUGACAUCACUGCCAGCCCUGUGACGGCGGGAGUGACAUCACGCAGCUGCACAGGGCGUGGUGUGACGUCGCUGGUGGGUGGGAGAACACUCGUGGGGUGCUCCUGCCCCGAGGUGGGUGGUGACAUCACUGCUGGACGUGUGACAGCUGCUGUGACACCACAGAGGUCUGUGUGAUGUCACUGCUGGAUGUGUGACACCAUACAAGGGUGUGUGACGUCAGUGUGGGAUGUGUGACACCAUAGACGUGUGUGUGAUGUCACUGUGGGAUGUGUGACACCACAAAGGUCUCUGAUGUCACUGUGGGAUGUUUGACACCAUAAAGGGAUGUGUGACACCACAGAGGCAUCUGAUGUCACUGUGGGAUGUGUGACACCAUAAAGGGAUAUGUGAUGUCACUGUGGGAUGUGUGACACCACAGAGGUCUGUGUGAUGUCACUGUGGGAUCUGUGUGACAUCACUGCUGGAUGUGUGACAGCACAGAGGUGUGUGUGAUGUCACUGUGGGACGUGUGACAACAUCCAGGGGUGUGUGAUGUCAAUGUGGGAUGUAUGACACCAUAGAGGUGUGUGAUGUCACGUGGGAUGUGUGACAACAUCCAGGGGUGUGUGAUGUGUGGGAUGUGUGACACCGUACAGGCAUGUGUCACGUCACCACUGGCUGUCUGAUGCUGGGUGUGACAUCAUGCAGGCCUGCACGACAUCACUCAUGGACGUGUGACAUGCCUGUAUGGCAUCAAACAGGCAUGACUUGAAAGCCGUGAUGUCACACACUCGUGGUGACAUCGUGGUGACAGACAGGUCACAGGGUGUGAAAACACACGUGCACCACAGUGUCACCUCACCCCGAGGACCUUGGCUGGUGCUGUGACGUCACCCCGCCCUGUGACAUCACCCAGAAGGCUGUGGGACCCCCCCCAACCCCGAAAUCCCCACAAACUCACCCAAAGCGCCGGUGCUGGGCAGCACAGCAGCUUUUAAUCAGAAAACUCCUAAAAAAAGUGUGUCCCCCACCCGCCUGUC
Lepidothrix coronata (blue-crowned manakin) is the source of this 1771-nucleotide RNA transcript. It is a transcript of the gene named neurogranin, with no coding region annotated. NCBI's taxonomy places the organism in Eukaryota, Metazoa, Chordata, Aves, Passeriformes, Pipridae. The record is from RefSeq and is a predicted model, not a curated record. The transcript is spliced from 4 exons.